This 830-nucleotide long non-coding RNA is filed under the name Volvox carteri. Its description in RNAcentral is "long non-coding RNA (VCAR_LNC000268)". Lineage: Eukaryota; Viridiplantae; Chlorophyta; Chlorophyceae; Chlamydomonadales; Volvocaceae. The record is from RNAcentral.
GGAGCAGUUCUACGAGCUUGUCAACACCAGAGAGCAGCGACGCAAUGUCCGCGAUGCGGCCGUCUCUACGGCCGCCUAUCCUCCCUGCGAAGAAUCUUCUGUGCAGAUCCGCAUCCGAAAUAGUGAGGACCGUAGCCAUUGGCCCAUCGGGACCGCGGCCAGCAGGAAUUUGGGUGUGGACAUUAGUCAGCGGCAGCGUGACAGGGGGGAAAUCUUGGUGUUUCAUGCCGCCACGUCGACCAUCAACCCCUGCAUGCACUACGAGGCGUAUGAGAUGGCUUACCGCUUUUUUAAAGUGCACACGCCCAAGUUCCGCCUUGGAGGGUGGGUAUGGGAAACGCGCGGUUGCACCAGAACGAUAAUCGGUUCGAAACAAGUGCCAGUUGCUCCGUUUGGGCCUUGACACUUAGCUUCUGUUCUGCAGUUUUCGGAUUAUGGCACCCGUUGCCAAACUGAUGGUUAACUACUGUAUAUGUUUCAAUUUUGACAAGUCAAAUAUGCGCGGAGGAUUGGUUUUAGUUACAAAGUUUAUGCAGAUCGUUCUUUUAUCGAUGCUUUAUAAGAUUUUGUACCCGUAAAGGAUUUAAGGAAAGCGGGAAGGUUGUCGAUAAAGAGUCCGGAAUCGGAAUGUUUUGGCGACCGCAAUUGCAGCAGCGGCUACAAGGAUUAGGGUCAAAUGGGUAAUUUUGAAGGCACGCGAUGAAAAUCAUGAUAUUAUACCAGCCUUUAGUUCUCAGGGACGGAUUUGGCGUUUGGACGUUGGUUCUCUGCUAAAAUUUGACCGCCAGCAGGAUUCGUACAAAUGCCCGUCGAAAGCUCGAAACCCGAAG